GGGAAUGAGAAUCAGUGGUGAGAGCUUGUGGAGAAAAUUCACUUGGGAAUAAGAUUUUAGUCAUAUUUCCUUAUUUAUCUUUUGAAGGGAAUUAAAAGUGGGAGUUUAAGCGAGACUUCGUAUCCUUUGUUUGGUAUGGGCGGUUUACGGGUGGAAAAUUAUAUCUUCAGUCAUGAUUAACGAUGUAGAGGCAUCCAUCUUCCACUUAAAAUAAAUUCCCACCUGAUUCCCACUCAUCCCCAUGGGAAGUGAUGGGUGGGAGUUGCUUCUCUAAACUCACAUUCCUUGUCCCACUAAAAUUUCCAUAUCCACUAAAUAAACAAUAGAAUUUUAAUCUCUCACAUAUAAACUUCCUUUCCCUCCCACCAAUUACCUCCAACCAAAUGAGCUGUCAAGU
Molecule: long non-coding RNA, 397 nt
Filed under: Setaria viridis
Lineage: Eukaryota; Viridiplantae; Streptophyta; Magnoliopsida; Poales; Poaceae
Description: long non-coding RNA (SVIR_LNC009374)
Source: RNAcentral